Molecule: ribosomal RNA, 505 nt
Filed under: uncultured bacterium
Lineage: Bacteria
Description: partial 16S ribosomal RNA
Rfam family: Bacterial small subunit ribosomal RNA
Source: RNAcentral
AACGAACGCUGGCGGCGCGUUUUAAGCAUGCAAGUCGAACGGUAGGCGGGGGCAACUCCGCUGAGAGUGGCGCACGGGUGAGUAACACGUAGGUGAUCUACCCUGGGAUUGGGGAUAGCCCAUGGAAACAUGGGGUAAUACCGAAUGAGCUCUUUUGGUCAUGGCCGAAAGAGGAAAGGCGCGGGUGCGCCGACCUGGGAUGAGCCUGCGGCCUAUUAGCUAGUUGGCGGGGUAAAGGCCCACCAAGGCGACGACGGGUAGCCGGCCUGAGAGGGUGAACGGCCACACUGGGACUGAGAUACGGCCCAGACUCCUACGGGAGGCAGCAGCUAAGAAUCUUCCGCAAUGGGGGAAACCCUGACGGAGCGACGCCGCGUGGAUGAUGAAGGCCGAAAGGUUGUAAAAUCCUUUUCUCUGUGAAGAAUAAGUGAGGCAGGAAAUAGCCGCAUGAUGACGUUAGCAGAGGAAUAAGCCCCGGCUAACUACGUGCCAGCCGCCGCUGUAA